UUUAAGGUCUGACCUGCCCAAUGAGUAUUAAAUGGCCGCGGUAAUUUGACCGUGCAAAGGUAGCAUAAUCAUUAGUUUUUUAAUUGAAAGCUGGAAUGAAUGGUCGGACGAGAAAAAUACUGUCUCAAUUUAAUUUAAAUAGAAUUUUAUUUUUAAGUAAGAAAGCUUAAAUUUAGUUAAAAGACGAGAAGACCCUAUAGAGUUUUAUAUUCAAUUAGCUAAAAUUUUUUUUGGAAUUUAUUAGUUGUAUUUAUUUGAAUAUUUUAUUGGGGCGAUAGAAAAAUUUAAUUAACUUUUUUUUUUAUUAACAUUUAUUUAUGAUUAAAUGAUCCAUUUUUUAUGAUUAUAAGAUUAAAUUACCUUAGGGAUAACAGCGUAAUUUUUUUUUAGAGUUCUAAUCGAAAAAAGAGUUUGCGACCUCGAUGUUGGAUUAAAAUUUGCUUUUGGUGCAGGAGUUAAAAGGCUAGGUCUGUUCGACCUUUAAAAUUUUACAUGAUCUGAGUUUAAACCGGCGUGAGCCAGGUUGGUUUCUAUCUUUAAUAAAGUGAUAUGUUUUAGUACGAAAGGAUUUUAUAUAUAUAAUAGUUAUUUAGGUUUGAAUUAUAUUA
This 608-nucleotide ribosomal RNA is filed under the name Echyra umbrina. RNAcentral's name for it is "partial 16S large subunit ribosomal RNA". It matches the Rfam family "Bacterial large subunit ribosomal RNA", at positions 1844 to 2847 of the family's 2925-position model. The record is from RNAcentral. Lineage: Eukaryota; Metazoa; Arthropoda; Insecta; Coleoptera; Scarabaeidae.